Molecule: unclassified non-coding RNA, 254 nt
Filed under: fungal sp.
Lineage: Eukaryota; Fungi
Description: partial contains small subunit ribosomal RNA, internal transcribed spacer 1, and 5.8S ribosomal RNA
Rfam family: Eukaryotic small subunit ribosomal RNA (bases 1-46)
Source: RNAcentral
AAGUCGUAACAAGGUUUCCGUAGGUGAACCUGCGGAAGGAUCAUUACCGAGUUAGGGUCUUCCAGGCCCGACCUCCAACCCUGUGUCUCAAACUACCAUGUUGCUUUGGCGGGCCCGCCUCUAGGGCCGUUGGAGGCCUUACCGCCUCUGGCCAGCGCCCGUCAGUAGCCUUCUUAAAAAUUCUUUAAAUAACUGUGUUGUCUGAGUAUAAAUUUAAAUCGUUAAAACUUUCAACAACGGAUCUCUUGGUUCUG